RNAcentral lists this ribosomal RNA (492 nucleotides) under uncultured bacterium. RNAcentral's name for it is "partial 16S ribosomal RNA". It matches the Rfam family "Bacterial small subunit ribosomal RNA", at positions 29 to 507 of the family's 1533-position model. The record is from RNAcentral.
AGUGAACGCUGGCGGUAGGCCUAACACAUGCAAGUCGAACGGCAGCACAGUAAGAGCUUGCUCUUACGGGUGGCGAGUGGCGGACGGGUGAGGAAUACAUCGGAAUCUACUUUUUCGUGGGGGAUAACGUAGGGAAACUUACGCUAAUACCGCAUACGACCUACGGGUGAAAGCAGGGGAUCUUCGGACCUUGCGCGAUUGAAUGAGCCGAUGUCGGAUUAGCUAGUUGGCGGGGUAAAGGCCCACCAAGGCGACGAUCCGUAGCUGGUCUGAGAGGAUGAUCAGCCACACUGGAAGUGAGACACGGUCCAGACUCCUACGGGAGGCAGCAGUGGGGAAUCUUGGACGAUGGGCGCAAGCCUGAUCCAGCAAUACCGCGUGGGUGAAGAAGGACUUCGGGUUGUAAAGCCCUUUUGUUGGGAAAGAAAAGCAGCAGGUUAAUACCCCGCUGUUCUGACGGUACCCAAAGAAUAAGCACCGGCUAACUUCGUG